This 427-nucleotide ribosomal RNA is filed under the name uncultured bacterium. RNAcentral's name for it is "bacterial SSU rRNA". It matches the Rfam family "Bacterial small subunit ribosomal RNA", at positions 355 to 774 of the family's 1533-position model. The record is from RNAcentral.
UGGGGAAUUUUGGACAAUGGGGGCAACCCUGAUCCAGCCAUCCCGCGUGUGCGAUGAAGGCCUUCGGGUUGUAAAGCACUUUUGGCAGGGAAGAAACAGCCUGGGCUAAUAUCCCGGGCGACUGACGGUACCUGCAGAAUAAGCACCGGCUAACUACGUGCCAGCAGCCGCGGUAAUACGUAGGUGGCAAGCGUUGUCCGGAUUUACUGGGCGUAAAGGAUGCGUAGGCGGAUACUUAAGUCAGAUGUGAAAAUCCCGGGCUUAACUUGGGAACUGCAUUUGAAACUGGGUAUCUAGAGUGCGGGAGAGGAAAGUGGAAUUCCUAGUGUAGCGGUGAAAUGCGUAGAGAUUAGGAAGAACACCAGUGGCGAAGGCGACUUUCUGGACCGUAACUGACGCUGAGGCAUGAAAGCGUGGGGAGCAAACA